This is a non-coding RNA of Ceratotherium simum simum (southern white rhinoceros), 102 nucleotides long. The record is from RefSeq and is a predicted model, not a curated record. Lineage: Eukaryota; Metazoa; Chordata; Mammalia; Perissodactyla; Rhinocerotidae.
CCCCUCUGUGCUCUGGCCACUAGAGCCCAAAGCAGAGUAAACCACUUGGCCUUGGUUUCCUCGCCAGGAGAAUGGUCUCGGCUGAGGCUGGCCUCCGGAGUG